RNAcentral lists this ribosomal RNA (376 nucleotides) under Malus domestica (apple). Its description in RNAcentral is "rRNA MD17G0200600". It matches the Rfam family "Bacterial large subunit ribosomal RNA", at positions 246 to 556 of the family's 2925-position model. Lineage: Eukaryota; Viridiplantae; Streptophyta; Magnoliopsida; Rosales; Rosaceae. The record is from RNAcentral.
GUGAAUUACGAGGACGUAAUGUUCUAGUGUAAUUUUUGAAUUAAUUCAACUUUUUUUUUUGGGUGUACUCAUCAUAAUAUGGGACGUACGCGUGUUAAAUUAGGGAUAAUCCUCUACCAUGAGCAUGUGACACUUAGUUUAACCAAGCGUUGUGCUACUAGGCGAAGCUUGGAGUGCCGCAUACUAGAUGGCAAGAAUCCAGUAGCUGCAUCACUAGCUUGCGCUCUGAUCUGAGUAGCAUGAGACACGUGAAAUCCCGUGUGAUUCAGCAAGAACCACCUCGCAAAGCUAAAUACAAUUGGGUGACCGAUAGUUAAGCAGUACUGUGAGAAAAGGGUGAAAAGAACCCCCACCGGAAAAUGAUAGAAUAUAAAAC